CGGCCCUCAAUUGUAUACAACUUGAGGUCCUCUUCUCCACCUCUUCCUGCUCAGUACUCCAUGUGGUUCCCUUCUGCUCUGUGCUUCACCCAUUAGUCCCUCCAUAUUACAUCCUCAGAACUGGAUACCACUGGGAAGUAACGUCCUUCAAGCCAGGCAACAGGACGCUGGAAGAAUAAUGUGGGUUUGAGGCAUUUUGAUCUUAAACUUCAAGGAAAUGGAAAAAGACCAGCAAUAUGGGACCAAGAGGAUUCAACAGUAAAGUAAGGACCAAAAAAAAAAUAAUGACCGAAUUAGGUGAAGAAGAAAGCCUUCCACAUAAUCAGCCAUAUGAAAUGCUGCUGACAGGUCUAAACUUCAUGUCACUUUUUACUGGUUCUUCAUUACAUGCAACUAAAGGAACAAAGAUUCCUGGUUUGGCCAAAAUCCAGAGGAACAGGACACAGGCAGGACUUGCCUCCAGGGCUUGCAGUGGGGAAACAUCUUCAGACCCAACUCCUUUGAGAAACCGGCUGUGCUCUCUGUAUUCCUGCCCACCAGUCUUCUCAUUUUAUAC
RNAcentral lists this long non-coding RNA (556 nucleotides) under Equus caballus (horse). RNAcentral describes it as "lncRNA (ENSECAG00000058927.1)". The record is from RNAcentral. Lineage: Eukaryota; Metazoa; Chordata; Mammalia; Perissodactyla; Equidae.